GAUUUGGGGUAAGAAUAUGUAAUUUACUCUAUCUAUGCUAAUGCCCAACCAGACAGUUUAAAGAAGUUGCUGUAUAUGUUUUUUAAGUCGUAAAAUCAUGUAUUAACUUAGUCCUGCAAAAAUGAACUGCGAAAAUUCACUUCGCAAAGUCAUAUCCCUUUAGAAGCUGAAAUCUGUUAAGAAACAACGAGCAGCUUAAAUUCACAUCACCCUAGAUGAAUUCUGAUCUUGUAAAGCUUAAAGACAACACUAGUUCUACUCCUCCAGAGUACAGCAGGGCACAUCACCACGGUAAUAAAAGAUUGACCCUUUAGAUGAAUCAACACCUCAAUUCAUGCACACCUCAAAGAGGGAAGAAACAAUCACCACAUAAUAAGAAGAAAAUCUGCUCAAAAUUCACUAAGAUAAACAAGUUCAGUAAUUCACUGACUAAAGCUCAUCAUAAAAUGUGAGAUAAAACCAGGCAAAGAAAUAACCACCAAAGAGCUAUUGUCAUGGCCCAUCAAGCAAUUUAGCUCUGCACCAAAUUGCUCAAUUACUCCACUAUCCUCAAAAGAGGCUAGAGAACCAUGACAAUAGCUCCUGGAGAUCCAGCACUGGUUAAAUGUCCAAAACAAAAUUGGAAAAAACUGAUGCAAAUAAACAAAACUAGUUCAUCCAAGUUGAAUCCCAUCAACACCACAACCUCACUUCUUCUUCUGAGCAGCUUUGGUGACCUUGGCGCCAGUUGGGUCCUUCUUGUCAACACUCUUGAUGACACCAACAGCAACAGUCUGACGCAUGUCCCUCACAGCAAAACGACCCAAUGGUGGGUACUCGGCAAAGGUCUCCACAACCAUAGGCUUGGUCGGCAUCAUCUUAACCAUACCAGCAUCACCAUUCUUCAAGAACUUAGGCUCCUUCUCAAGUUCCUUACCAGAACGUCUGUCAAUCUUGGUCAAGAUCUCAGCGAACUUGACAGCAAUGUGGGAAGUGUGGCAGUCAAGAACUGGUGCAUAUCCAUUUCCAAUCUGACCAGGAUGGUUCAUGAUGAUGACCUGGGAGGUGAAACUGGCAGCCCCUUUGGCUGGGUCAUCCUUGGAAUUUGAGGCAACAUAACCACGCUUGAGAUCCUUAACAGCAACAUUCUUAACAUUGAACCCAACAUUGUCACCGGGGAGUGCCUCCAGGAGAGCUUCGUGGUGCAUCUCUACAGACUUGACUUCAGUUGUCAGACCAGUAGGCCCAAAGGUCACAACCAUACCAGGCUUGAGGACACCAGUUUCAAC
This 1268-nucleotide long non-coding RNA is filed under the name Nicotiana benthamiana. RNAcentral describes it as "long non-coding RNA (NBEN_LNC024451)". Lineage: Eukaryota; Viridiplantae; Streptophyta; Magnoliopsida; Solanales; Solanaceae. The record is from RNAcentral.